UGGGGAAUUUUGGACAAUGGGCGAAAGCCUGAUCCAGCAAUGCCGCGUGCGUGAAGAAGGCCUUCGGGUUGUAAAGCACUUUUUGUCCGGAAAGAAAUCCUUGGCUCUAAUACAGUCGGGGGAUGACGGUACCGGAAGAAUAAGCACCGGCUAACUACGUGCCAGCAGCCGCGGUAAUACGUAGGGUGCAAGCGUUAAUCGGAAUUACUGGGCGUAAAGCGUGCGCAGGCGGUUUGCUAAGACCGAUGUGAAAUCCCCGGGCUCAACCUGGGAACUGCAUUGGUGACUGGCAGGCUAGAGUAUGGCAGAGGGGGGUAGAAUUCCACGUGUAGCAGUGAAAUGCGUAGAGAUGUGGAGGAAUACCGAUGGCGAAGGCAGCCCCCUGGGCCAAAUACUGACGCUCAUGCACGAAAGCGUGGGGAGCAAACAGGAUUAGAUACCCUGGUAGUCCACGCCCUAAACGAUGUCAACUAGUUGUUGGGGAUUCAUUUUCCUUAGUAACGUAGCUAACGCGUGAAGUUGACCGCCUGGGGAGUACGGUCGCAAGAUUAAAACUUAAAGGAAUUGACGGGGUCAUAGCUGUUUCCU
Molecule: ribosomal RNA, 588 nt
Filed under: uncultured bacterium
Lineage: Bacteria
Description: partial 16S ribosomal RNA
Rfam family: Bacterial small subunit ribosomal RNA
Source: RNAcentral